GAUGAAUGCUGGCGGCGUGCUUAACACAUGCAAGUCGAGCGGUAAGGCCCUUCGGGGUACACGAGCGGCGGACGGCUGAGUAACGCGUGGGAACAUGCCCUAAAGUGAGGAAUAACUACACGAAAGGGUGGCUAAUGCCGCAUAUUAUCUUCGGAUUAAAGGAUUUAUCCGCUUUAGGAGUGGCCUGCGUACGAUUAGCUUGUUGGUGAGGUAAUGGCUUACCAAGGCGACGAUCGUUAGUUGGUCUGAGAGGAUGACCAGCCAGACUGGAACUGAGACACGGUCCAGACUCCUACGGGAGGCAGCAGUGAGGAAUCUUCCACAAUGGGCGAAAGCCUGAUGGAGCAACGCCGCGUGCAGGAUGAAGGCCCUCGGGUCGUAAACUGCUUUUAUGAGUGAAGAAUAUGACGGUAACUCAUGAAUAAGCACCGGCUAACUACGUGCCAGCAGCCGCCGCG
RNAcentral lists this ribosomal RNA (458 nucleotides) under uncultured bacterium. RNAcentral describes it as "partial 16S ribosomal RNA". It matches the Rfam family "Bacterial small subunit ribosomal RNA", at positions 28 to 522 of the family's 1533-position model. The record is from RNAcentral.